CAGCAGCCACGGUAAUACGGAGGAUCCAAGCGUUAUCCGGAAUUAUUGGGUUUAAAGGGUGCGUAGGCGGCAUGCUAAGUCAGUGGUGAAAGACGGUGGCUCAACCAUCGCAGUGCCGUUGAUACUGUUUAUCUUGAAUAUGGAUGAGGUAGGCGGAAUGUGGCAAGUAGCGGUGAAAUGCAUAGAUAUGCCACAGAACACCGAUUGCGAAGGCAGCUUACCAAGGCAAAAUUGACGCUGAGGCACGAAAGCGUGGGGAUCGAACAGGAUUAGAUACCCGCGUAGUCCCUGUCUCUUAUAC
RNAcentral lists this ribosomal RNA (301 nucleotides) under uncultured bacterium. RNAcentral's name for it is "partial 16S ribosomal RNA". It matches the Rfam family "Bacterial small subunit ribosomal RNA", at positions 509 to 807 of the family's 1533-position model. The record is from RNAcentral.